This 470-nucleotide ribosomal RNA is filed under the name uncultured bacterium. RNAcentral describes it as "partial 16S ribosomal RNA". It matches the Rfam family "Bacterial small subunit ribosomal RNA", at positions 328 to 793 of the family's 1533-position model. The record is from RNAcentral.
UUACCAGACUCCUACGGGAGGCAGCAGUGAGGAAUAUUGGUCAAUGGGCUUACGCCUGAACCAGCCAAGUCGCGUGAGGGAAGACUGCCCUAUGGGUUGUAAACCUCUUUUGUCAGGGAGCAACGCCGGCUACGUGUAGCCGGACUGAGAGUACCUGACUAAGAAGCCCCGGCUAACUACGUGCCAGCAGCCGCGGUAAUACGUAGGGGGCAAGCGUUAUCCGGAUUUACUGGGUGUAAAGGGAGCGUAGACGGCGGCGCAAGUCCGGAGUGAAAGCCCACGGCCCAACCGUGGGACUGCUCUGGAAACUGUGCGGCUUGAGUGCGGGAGGGGCAGGCGGAAUUCCUAGUGUAGCGGUGAAAUGCGUAGAUAUUAGGAGGAACACCGGCGGCGAAGGCGGCCUGCUGGACCGUAACUGACGUUGAGGCUCGAAAGCGUGGGGAGCAAACAGGAUUAGAUACCCGAGUAAG